Molecule: long non-coding RNA, 1939 nt
Filed under: Homo sapiens (human)
Lineage: Eukaryota; Metazoa; Chordata; Mammalia; Primates; Hominidae
Description: non-protein coding lnc-NT5C2-1:2
Source: RNAcentral
AAAGGAGAGGUGCGGCAGGCAGGGCGCGGCGGGGCGGUGCGCCCGGCUUUUAAGGCGCCGGGGCUGGGGCGGCGCGCUGGGGGCGGAGCUCCUGCUCAGAGUCUGGCCGGGAGAGGGAAGGGGGGCAUCCAGGAGUGGGGGCGGGGAGGCGCAGUGACUACCGCAGCUGCGCGCGCGACGACCUGGGGCGCCGGGACAGGGCCAUCUGCAUCGGAGUCGCCCCUUUCCGCAGCGCUUCUCCCCAAGAAUCGACUGCUUCGGAAGUGACUCGAGCGGAGGGGUGCCUAAACGACUGAGGUUUCCCAUCCGGAAACCACACAGCUCUGUCGCAUCCCUUGACCCUAUCCCCUCUUCUUUAACCGACUGGGAGGUUAGGGGUUUCUGGGAGGUGUCCCCUACACCCACCCUCAUCCUGAGGUGAGGCGCACAGAAAGCCUUCCCGAGGGCGAGGUCGUGUUUUUCCAGUUACAGUGAGGACCUGCAGAGCGAGCCCUUGUCCCCUUCCUCAGGGUCCCCAAGGAGAAAGGUGGGAGAUGCUACGUCAGAAAGCAUCUCUCCAGCUGCCCCUCUGCAGCUCCUGGGGAGGCUCCGGGCGGAAAGAUGUUCAGCAAGUGCCUCUCCCAGAAGAGAGGGGAGAUCAGUAAAGAAAGUGACCCCGAGCUGCGGAGAGUGGGGAGAAGCGGCGGUACAGAGGGGAAAAGAGGCCAGACUUGGAGAAGCAGGAGGCGCUGGGAAUUGCUGGGGCUCAUCGUUAGGGCACUAAAGCAUGGCACAGGCCAGGACCACAAGCUGCUGGAAAGGGGGCUGCAGACUUUUGUGUUUAGAGCAUUAUAUUUUAAAAUAUUUCGAAAGGAGCAUUUUUAAACCAGGAGAUUUCACCUGUAAAGAAAUUGGAUUUCUGGCUUCUUCUGAAAAUGGGAAGAGCUGGGAUGCCCACAGUGGCAGAGGUGAGUUGCCCUUGCCAUUUGUAUAAGAAGUGUGCUCUCCUGUUCACUACAGUCCCUGCCAUUCUCCACUGAAUUACGCCCCCCUUCUUAAUUCAUUUACUUUACCUCUCUGACCCUGUGGGCAUUUGAGAUUUCAGUUUGUGUAAAUCCAGCAGGGCAGGUUCUCAACUGGCUUCAGAGAGCCACUCCCUGUGCAGAUCUCUUUUUGGAGAAAAGAGAUCCCUGCAAAAAGAUUAAACUCCAGGAGUGGGGGAGAGUGCUGGUGACUGAGCCGGCCUCUUCUGCCACAUGGUAGGGUUGGUGGGGCAGGGGGUGAGAAUCAAAGAAUGGAAUCUGAAAAGAUGAAGGCUGGGAGGGGUCAGUGUGGCGUCUGUAAUAUGUACCCACUUGCAAGCUUCUAAUAUCAUUCAGGAUGUGGAUAUGGCUUUGGAGAGGGAGUAGGAAGACCUUUUUAGUUAUAUCCCAGAAUUCCAGACUGAGGGCCUUUUAUUGAUAUUGGAAUCUUCAAGGACGUAGUUCUAGGAUAAGUUUUACUUCAUGGGGAAAGGGGAAUAUGCUUGGGACAGGCCACUAAAGGAAGGGUGAAAAGGGAUCUUAUGGGACUUUGGAGCAUAUCUCUUGGCUUUGUGCUUGAUGUCAUGGAAGAUGGUCAGGCCCUGCCACAGCCUGCCCCUCUGGUUCCUCAUCACAGACCAAAGCCUUGAGUUGGAGGGACUCAAUUCUGAGGUCUUUGGGCUUAGAAAGACCUGGUAAGGUGAACAAUAAAAGAUUGCUAACACUGCUGAGUAAUGAUUGUCUGCCAGUACUUGUGCUGGCACUUUUGCAUAGGUUUACCUCUGAACCAUGCUUCAAGGUGGCCCUCACCUCCAUCUUAUAGAUAAGGCACCGAGGUGCGGGUGCAGCACAAGGUCACCAGCAAGCAAAGACAAGCAUACAUUCUCUCUUCACUACAUAAUUCUGCUUAGUGCAGUGAGACUCUUUUUUUUUUUUUU